This 117-nucleotide ribosomal RNA is filed under the name bacterium (candidate division B38) B3_B38. The record is from RNAcentral.
CCCGGUGACCAUAGCGGAGGGGAAAUACCCGUUCCCAUUCCGAACACGGAAGUCAAGCCCUCUGGCGCCGAUGGUACUGCAUUGGCAACGGUGUGGGAGAGUAGGUAGUUGCCGGGA